GACGAACGCUGGCGGCGUGCUUAACACAUGCAAGUCGAACGGAAAGGCCCUGCUUUUGUGGGGUGCUCGAGUGGCGAACGGGUGAGUAACACGUGAGUAACCUGCCCUUGACUUUGGGAUAACUUCAGGAAACUGGGGCUCAUACCGGAUAGGAGCUCCUGCUGCAUGGUGGGGGUUGGAAAGUUUCGGCGGUUGGGGAUGGACUCGAGGCUUAUCAGCUUGUUGGUGGGGUAGUGGCUUACCAAGGCUUUGACGGGUAGCCGGCCUGAGAGGGUGACCGGCCACAUUGGGACUGAGAUACGGCCCAGACUCCUACGGGAGGCAGCAGUGGGGAAUAUUGCACAAUGGGCGGAAGCCUGAGGCAGCAACGCCGCGUGCGGGAUGACGGCCUUCGGGUUGUAAACCGCUUUCGCCUGUGACGAAGCGUGAGUGACGGUAAUGAGUAAAGAAGCACCGGCUAACUACGUG
Molecule: ribosomal RNA, 468 nt
Filed under: uncultured bacterium
Lineage: Bacteria
Description: partial 16S ribosomal RNA
Rfam family: Bacterial small subunit ribosomal RNA
Source: RNAcentral